This is a non-coding RNA of Pelobates cultripes (western spadefoot toad), 230 nucleotides long. Lineage: Eukaryota; Metazoa; Chordata; Amphibia; Anura; Pelobatidae. The record is from the annotation of a GenBank genome assembly.
GUUGCCGGAUCUCCCGGUGGAACAAUGGCACAUGGAAAGAGCGCACAGGGCCCUGCGCGCAAGAAGAUCAGAUUCCCAAGGGACGUGAUAAUUAGUUUCCUCUACUUUCAAACCAAAGAAACCCUCAUGAGGAGAUGCAGAGAAGUGAAGAUCCACCACAAUGGCACAGAACUUCAAGUAUACCAAGACCUGGCACCCAGCACUCUCCAGAGACGGAGGGAGUGGAGACC